RNAcentral lists this long non-coding RNA (1431 nucleotides) under Lactuca sativa (garden lettuce). Its description in RNAcentral is "long non-coding RNA (LSAT_LNC001263)". Lineage: Eukaryota; Viridiplantae; Streptophyta; Magnoliopsida; Asterales; Asteraceae. The record is from RNAcentral.
AUAACUUCAUUAUACUAAGUUAUUUAUUCUUAUCACAACAAAUAACAUGAUCGACUUCAGAGCUUAAGAGUCGCUAUUUACGAAAUAAAUAAUUGUCGAGUAUUGUAUUUAAAGACUUUAUCUUUAUCCCAAAUUAAAUGUAUUAAAAUUAUUCUCGGAUAAUUCAUAUAAAAUAUGGGGAAUAUAGAACUACGGUCGAUCCAAACUUGGAUAAAUUCAAAAAUUAGCUAUUAUGCUAAUACAACAUCGAAACCGUAUCUAAUAUGAUAAAUUCUUGAAGUUAUGAGAAUUUCAGUUAUCGUUUUCCUAAACGGUGAAUAAUGUUACAUAUCCAAUGAAUUUAGAAUGGAUUAUAUAGGUUCAUUAUACAUAUUGUAUGUAGGUUCAGCAUACCUACCCCAUGUAUUCCGUAUAGAUUUAUCAUACCUAUUCCAUGUAGGUUCAUCAUACCUACCCCAUGUAUUCCGUAUAGGUUCAUCAUACAUAUUCCAUGUAGGUUCACAUACCUACUNAUAGGUUCAUCAUACCUAUUCCAUGUAGGUUCAUCAUACAUACUUCAUAUAUUCCAUAUAGGUUCAUCAUACCUAUUCUAUAGGUUCAUCAUACCUAUUCUGAAUACCAUAUCCAAUACGUUUGAGUUUCCAUUAUAAACUAUUCCGAGUUUCGUGAAAGCUAAGAUGUAAAUACUUAGUAGAAACUCUCCAAUAUAUAACCGUUAAUCCUCAAGGGAAUGACUAACGUCGGGUCUAAGUGUCAUAUUAUUGAUCUUAUACGGUACGACCGCCCGCCUGGAGUUGCUAGCUACAACUACAUCUGACGAGAUGAAUUUUGGCGCUGACGUUAGCAUUAUCGAAACAUUACCACGUGUUACAACGAGGUGAAUGACUUUAGCACGCGCGCCUUAUUAUGGUGUCGGUGCAUUAAUAAAGUACAGUGUCACGAGUUCGGUUAUGAUUUCAUUAUAAAAUCCCAAUUUUGUUUCGUUAUCGUAUAGAAUCGAUAUUGGAUUUAUACGAGGUUUAUGUCCACUCAUUCCAGUUGAAAGAAACUAUAUUCAGUGGGAUUGCUUGUGACUCAAAGCGAUAAGUUUCAGUACCAAAACUUAAGUCAGAUAACACUUAAUUAAUAUCAUGACACGGCUCCGACAAGAUUUAUUAACUCACAUAAAUGAGUUAUUUAUAUAAACCAUUUGUCUUUAUAGUAAAACACAAUAUUUACUUGGGAGGAGUUUUCCCCACCGGUUAAGUGUCGAUUUUCAAAUUAAGUCAGAUAAUACUUAAUUAUUAUCACGACACGAUUUUACAAAGUUCAUAAAUUCAAUACUUAUGAGUUUUUCAUAUAAAUGAUACAAAUUUUUGUAUAAGGUUUCAAGAGUGAAGUUGGUUAUUUUAUGUUCUCACAAAGGGUAACAUUUCCUAUUUUAUAUAAUCC